Oncorhynchus tshawytscha (Chinook salmon) is the source of this 371-nucleotide long non-coding RNA. NCBI's taxonomy places the organism in Eukaryota, Metazoa, Chordata, Actinopteri, Salmoniformes, Salmonidae. The record is from Ensembl.
CUACUAUAACAGGUCAGUUAUCUGGUGAUAGUAUAGUGUUCUGAUAGCUACACUACUAUAACAGGUCAGUUAUCUGGUGAUAGUAUAGUGUUCUGACAUCUACACUACUAUAACAGGUCAGUUAUCUGGUGAUAGUAUAGUGUUGACAUCUACACUACUAUAACAGGUCAGUUAUCUGGUGAUAGUAUAGUGUUGACAUCUACACUACUAUAACAGGUCAGUUAUCUGGUGAUAGUAUAGUUCUGACAUCUACACUACUAUAACAGGUCAGUUAUCUGGUGAUAGUAUAGUGUUGACAUCUACACUACUAUAACAUGUCAGUUAUCUGGUGAUAGUAUAGUGUUGACAUCUACACUACUAUAACAGGUCAG